Molecule: ribosomal RNA, 477 nt
Filed under: Candidatus Brocadia fulgida
Lineage: Bacteria; Pseudomonadati; Planctomycetota; Candidatus Brocadiia; Candidatus Brocadiales; Candidatus Brocadiaceae
Description: bacterial SSU rRNA
Rfam family: Bacterial small subunit ribosomal RNA
Source: RNAcentral
UUCGCAAUGCCCGAAAGGGUGACGAAGCGACGCCGCGUGCGGGAAGAAGGCCUUCGGGUUGUAAACCGCUGUCGGGAGUUAAGAAAUGCAAGGGUGUUAACAGCAUCCUUGCUUGACUAAGGCUCCGGAGGAAGCCACGGCUAACUCUGUGCCAGCAGCCGCGGUAAUACAGAGGCGGCAAGCGUUGUUCGGAAUUAUUGGGCGUAAAGAGCACGUAGGCGGCUGUGUAAGUCGGUUGUGAAAGCCUUCCGCUCAACGGGAGAACGGCAUCCGAUACUGCAUGGCUUGAGUGCGGGAGGGGAGAGUGGAACUUCUGGUGGAGCGGUGAAAUGCGUAGGUAUCAGAAGGAACACCGGCGGCGAAGGCGACUCUCUGGCCCGUAACUGACGCUGAGUGUGCGAAAGCUAGGGGAGCAAACGGGAUUAGAUACCCCGGUAGUCCUAGCCGUAAACGAUGGGCACUAAGUAGAGGGGUUUU